UCAGAUGCAAAGCUGUGUCACCGUGGUCAUUUCCUGCCUAAGUGUCAUCGCCUGAGAACCUGCAGUAAACCACCCUGGAAAACAGCUACGCACCUAUCCAG
Molecule: long non-coding RNA, 101 nt
Organism: Suricata suricatta (meerkat)
Lineage: Eukaryota; Metazoa; Chordata; Mammalia; Carnivora; Herpestidae
Exons: 3
Source: RefSeq, a predicted model, not a curated record